UACCUACGGGGGGCAGCAGUAGGGAAUCUUCCACAAUGGACGAAAGUCUGAUGGAGCAACGCCGCGUGAGUGAAGAAGUAUUUCGGUAUGUAAAGCUCUAUCAGCAGGGAAGAAAAAAGACGGUACCUGACUAAGAAGCCCCGGCUAACUACGUGCCAGCAGCCGCGGUAAUACGUAGGGGGCAAGCGUUAUCCGGAUUUACUGGGUGUAAAGGGAGCGUAGACGGCAUAGCAAGUCUGAAGUGAAAGCCCGUGGCUCAACCGCGGAACUGCUUUGGAAACUGUUAAGCUGGAGUACUGGAGAGG
Molecule: ribosomal RNA, 305 nt
Filed under: uncultured bacterium
Lineage: Bacteria
Description: bacterial SSU rRNA
Rfam family: Bacterial small subunit ribosomal RNA
Source: RNAcentral